This 75-nucleotide transfer RNA is filed under the name Nitrososphaerota archaeon. RNAcentral describes it as "Thaumarchaeota archaeon tRNA-Thr". It matches the Rfam family "tRNA". Rfam says of the family: Transfer RNA (tRNA) molecules are approximately 80 nucleotides in length. Their secondary structure includes four short double-helical elements and three loops (D, anti-codon, and T loops). Lineage: Archaea; Thermoproteati; Nitrososphaerota. The record is from RNAcentral.
GCCACGGUAGCUCAGCCUGGCUAGAGCAGCUGCCUUGUAAGCAGCAGGUCGUGAGUCCAAAUCUCACCCGUGGCU